CAAAACAAAGUGCCUCAACAACAACAAACAAAUUCACUAAUAGUUGCCGCAUUAAUGAGCUUUAUUUAUCACAAAUAUUGUCGGGUUAAAUUUAUGUAAAUGAUGUAUCUAUUAACUAUGCAUGCUUUCAGCUAAACAGUUGUCUAUUGCGCUCGACAAAAACAAACAGACAAAUAGGAAAUAUGCAAAUUUGAUUUGUAUGUGUUAGUGUAUGUGUGCGUGUUAAAACGGACACUUUGGCCCAAGAACACAAUGAAGUUGAGUUGAAAUCCCCUAUUCUAGUCUCAUUGGCAUGUCCUGGGAUACCGCAAUUGAGCAUUUGGCUGGCACAUUAACAGCAGCCAGUCAACAGCAAAAGCACAGCAUUGAGUGGAGAGUGAGACAUCAAUGUCUGGCACGUGGCGAAGUUUAUCGUAUUGAUAAGAUGAUAAGG
Molecule: long non-coding RNA, 433 nt
Organism: Drosophila albomicans
Lineage: Eukaryota; Metazoa; Arthropoda; Insecta; Diptera; Drosophilidae
Exons: 3
Source: RefSeq, a predicted model, not a curated record